GAUGAACGCUGGCGGCGUGCUUAACACAUGCAAGUCGAACGAUGAAGCCCAGCUUGCUGGGUGGAUUAGUGGCGAACGGGUGAGUAACACGUGAGUAACCUGCCCGUAACUCUGGGAUAAGCCUGGGAAACUGGGUCUAAUACCGGAUAGGAGCGUCCACCGCAUGGUGGGGGUUGGAAAGAUUUAUCGGUUUUGGAUGGACUCGCGGCCUAUCAGCUUGUUGGUGAGGUAAUGGCUCACCAAGGCGACGACGGGUAGCCGGCCUGAGAGGGUGACCGGCCACACUGGGACUGAGACACGGCCCAGACUCCUCCGGGAGGCAGCAGUGGGGAAUAUUGCACAAUGGGCGCAAGCCUGAUGCAGCGACGCCGCGUGAGGGAUGACGGCCUUCGGGUUGUACACCUCUUUCAGUAGGGAAGAAGCGAAAGUGACGGUACCUGCAGAAGAAGCACCGGCUAACUACGUG
This 466-nucleotide ribosomal RNA is filed under the name uncultured bacterium. RNAcentral's name for it is "partial 16S ribosomal RNA". It matches the Rfam family "Bacterial small subunit ribosomal RNA", at positions 28 to 507 of the family's 1533-position model. The record is from RNAcentral.